RNAcentral lists this ribosomal RNA (253 nucleotides) under uncultured bacterium. RNAcentral describes it as "partial 16S ribosomal RNA". It matches the Rfam family "Bacterial small subunit ribosomal RNA", at positions 524 to 776 of the family's 1533-position model. The record is from RNAcentral.
UACGUAGGGUGCAAGCGUUGUCCGGAAUUACUGGGCGUAAAGAGUUCGUAGGCGGUUUGUCGCGUCGUUUGUGAAAACUCACAGCUCAACUGUGAGCCUGCAGGCGAUACGGGCAGACUUGAGUACUGCAGGGGAGACUGGAAUUCCUGGUGUAGCGGUGAAAUGCGCAGAUAUCAGGAGGAACACCGGUGGCGAAGGCGGGUCUCUGGGCAGUAACUGACGCUGAGGAACGAAAGCGUGGGUAGCAAACGGG